AAAAUAGACUAUAGGUAGCUACAGCAUGAGCUCAAGAUUCGAAUCCUUCAGGUGGGUUGCCAAUUAAUAUAAAAGAAGAAAAUGAAAAAUUCCAUGGAAUUUUUAUAUAUAUGCACCAGCAAUAAAGGGGCCUCUCAACAUCAUUAGAUAGCAAAAUAUGACUACCAAAUAAAGAAGAUAGCAAGAAAAGAUCUAUUUUGGGGCAAUUGACAAAGUUUUUGAUCAGGCGUUGGUCUAAGCUUUCUCGUAAUUGGCUAAAGAUUAAUGUUGAUGCUACCACGACAAUUCCAGAUUUUCGUUUUGGUCUGGGAUUCGUAGCACGGGAUUGGAAUGGUAGCUUCUUGGCAGCAAAGAAUGUGGUAUUGCAAGGUAAUUUAAUGGCAAAGGAGGAUGAAGCUGUUGGUAUCAAAGAGGCACUCAGUUGGGUGCUUUCCAAGGACUAGUCGCAAGUUAUUAUUGAAUCUGAUGCUUUAGGAGUAAUUCAGGCUCUGAAGAAUCUCUUUUAUCAGGAUUCAUCUUUUUUUGGCUUGCUUAUUUCGGAUUGUAAGUCUCAAUUGUCUGAGAUUGAUUCAGUUAUUUUUGCACAUGUUUAUAGGUCUGUGAAUGGUGUGGCUCAUAGGUUUGCUAGAGCGACCCAUUCUGUGUUAGAUGUGGGUGAAUGUAUUGACCAUCCACCAGAUUUUAUUGUUCAA
RNAcentral lists this unclassified non-coding RNA (692 nucleotides) under Hevea brasiliensis (rubber tree). Lineage: Eukaryota; Viridiplantae; Streptophyta; Magnoliopsida; Malpighiales; Euphorbiaceae. The record is from RNAcentral.